RNAcentral lists this ribosomal RNA (410 nucleotides) under uncultured bacterium. RNAcentral describes it as "partial 16S ribosomal RNA". It matches the Rfam family "Bacterial small subunit ribosomal RNA", at positions 355 to 755 of the family's 1533-position model. The record is from RNAcentral.
UGGGGAAUUUUGGACAAUGGGCGAAAGCCUGAUCCAGCAAUGCCGCGUGUGUGAAGAAGGCCUUCGGGUUGUAAAGCACUUUUGUCCGGAAAGAAAUCCUUGGCUCUAAUACAGUCGGGGGAUGACGGUACCGGGAAGAAUAAGCACCGGCUAACUACGUGCCAGCAGCCGCGGUAAUACGUAGGGUGCAAGCGUUAAUCGGAAUUACUGGGCGUAAAGCGUGCGCAGGCGGUUUGCUAAGACCGAUGUGAAAUCCCCCGGGCUCAACCUGGGAACUGCAUGGUGACUGGCAGGCUAGAGUAUGGCAGAGGGGGGUAGAAUUCCACGUGUGAGCAGUGAAAUGCGUAGAGAUGUGGAGGAAUACCGAUGGCGAAGGCAGCCCCCUGGGCCAAUACUGACGCUCAUGCACG